This 1343-nucleotide ribosomal RNA is filed under the name uncultured bacterium. Its description in RNAcentral is "16S ribosomal RNA". It matches the Rfam family "Bacterial small subunit ribosomal RNA", at positions 28 to 1378 of the family's 1533-position model. The record is from RNAcentral.
GACGAACGCUUGCGGCGUGCUUAACACAUGCAAGUCGAACGGAAAGGCCCUGCUUUUGUGGGGUGCUCGAGUGGCGAACGGGUGAGUAACACGUGAGUAACCUGCCCUUGACUUUGGGAUAACUUCAGGAAACUGGGGCUAAUACCGGAUAGGAGCUCCUGCUGCAUGGUGGGGGUUGGAAAGUUUCGGCGGUUGGGGAUGGACUCGCGGCUUAUCAGCUUGUUGGUGGGGUAGUGGCUUACCAAGGCUUUGACGGGUAGCCGGCCUGAGAGGGUGACCGGCCACAUUGGGACUGAGAUACGGCCCAGACUCCUACGGGAGGCAGCAGUGGGGAAUAUUGCACAAUGGGCGGAAGCCUGAUGCAGCAACGCCGCGUGCGGGAUGACGGCCUUCGGGUUGUAAACCGCUUUCGCCUGUGACGAAGCGUGAGUGACGGUAAUGGGUAAAGAAGCACCGGCUAACUACGUGCCAGCAGCCGCGGUGAUACGUAGGGUGCGAGCGUUGUCCGGAUUUAUUGGGCGUAAAGGGCUCGUAGGUGGUUGAUCGCGUCGGAAGUGUAAUCUUGGGGCUUAACCCUGAGCGUGCUUUCGAUACGGGUUGACUUGAGGAAGGUAGGGGAGAAUGGAAUUCCUGGUGGAGCGGUGGAAUGCGCAGAUAUCAGGAGGAACACCAGUGGCGAAGGCGGUUCUCUGGGCCUUUCCUGACGCUGAGGAGCGAAAGCGUGGGGAGCGAACAGGCUUAGAUACCCUGGUAGUCCACGCUGUAAACGGUGGGUACUAGGUGUGGGGUCCAUUCCACGGGUUCCGUGCCGUAGCUAACGCUUUAAGUACCCCGCCUGGGGAGUACGGCCGCAAGGCUAAAACUCAAGGGAAUUGACGGGGCCCCGCACAAGCGGCGGAGCAUGCGGAUUAAUUCGAUGCAACGCGUAGAACCUUACCUGGGUUUGACAUGGAUCGGGAGUGCUCAGAGAUGGGUGUGCCUCUUUUGGGGUCGGUUCACAGGUGGUGCAUGGCUGUCGUCAGCUCGUGUCGUGAGAUGUUGGGUUAAGUCCCGCAACGAGCGCAACCCUUGUUCACUGUUGCCAGCACGUUAUGGUGGGGACUCAGUGGAGACCGCCGGGGUCAACUCGGAGGAAGGUGGGGAUGACGUCAAGUCACCAUGCCCCUUAUGUCCAGGGCUUCACGCAUGCUACAAUGGCUGGUACAGAGAGUGGCGAGCCUGUGAGGGUGAGCGAAUCUCGGAAAGCCGGUCUCAGUUCGGAUUGGGGUCUGCGACUCGACCUCAUGAAGUCGGAGUCGCUAGUAAUCGCAGAUCAGCAACGCUGCGGUGAAUACGUUCCCGGG